AUGGCCUUACCUAAUUUUGGUGAUCUUCACCUUAAAAAGCAAGAAGAUAUCGAAAACAAUGUCAGGAAGUUUAUGGUCUUGCAAUUUGAGCAUAAUAAUUUCUUUAGAAACGAGCUUAAGGAACAAAAGAGUUUUAUGAGUUAUAUGAAGAAAGAGCUCGAUGAUAUGUCCAAAGAAUUUGAUGGUGUAAGAGUCCAAAUUGCUCAUCGUGAAAAAAUGACCGCUGAAAUUUCGGAUAUGCAAGCCACCUUAGUCAAUAAGAUGGUCGCUAAACUGAAUAACUAUGAGAAUCAAGAUGAAGAUAUAAAAGUUAUUGAUGUGUCCCCUAUUAAAUCUUUGUUUUGCAAUAUGAAUCUUGAUGAAUCUGAUUAUGAUCUUCCCUUACCUAGAAGGCGUUCUAAGAAUUCUGAGUUUUUAGAUCCUGAUGAUGAAAUUGAUAAAAAAGGGAUUGAAAGAAAUAAAAAUCUAGAUAUUGCUAAACCCACUAUUUUGGAUCUCAAGAAAUUUAACUAUGAAAAUUGCUCUUUAAUUGAUUGUAUUUCCUUGUUGCAAUCCGUGUUAAAUUCUCCUCAUGCUUAUAGUAAAAAUAAGGCCUUUACCGAACACAUUGUUGACGCCUUAAUGCAAUCUUAUGAAGAAAAGCUUGAGUUGAAAGUUUCUAUCCCUAGAAAACUCCAUGAUGAGUGGGAACCUACAAUUAAGAUUAAAAUUAAAAAUUACGAGUUUCAUGCUUUGUGUGAUUUGGGUGCUAGUGUCUCUACUAUCCCCAAAGCUUUGUGUGAUUUGCUAGAUUUCCGUGACUUUGAUGAUUGCUCUCUAAACUUGCAUCUUGCGAAUUCCACUAUUAAAAAGCCUAUGGGAAGAAUUAAUGAUGUUCUUAUUGUUGCAAAUAGGAAUUAUGUGCCCGUAGAUUUUAUCGUUCUUGAUAUAGAUUGCAAUCCUUCAUGUCCUAUUAUUCUUGGUAGACCUUUCCUUAGAACGAUUGGUGCAAUUAUUGAUAUGAAGGAAGGGAAUAUUAAAUUCCAAUUUCCCUUAAAGAAGGGCAUGAAACACUUUCCUAAAAAGAAAAUAAAAUUACCAUAA
Molecule: ribosomal RNA, 1083 nt
Filed under: Triticum aestivum (bread wheat)
Lineage: Eukaryota; Viridiplantae; Streptophyta; Magnoliopsida; Poales; Poaceae
Description: partial small subunit ribosomal RNA
Source: RNAcentral